RNAcentral lists this non-coding RNA (458 nucleotides) under Oesophagostomum dentatum (nodular worm). Its description in RNAcentral is "Eukaryotic small subunit ribosomal RNA". It matches the Rfam family "Eukaryotic small subunit ribosomal RNA", at positions 1239 to 1611 of the family's 1831-position model. The record is from Rfam by way of RNAcentral. Lineage: Eukaryota; Metazoa; Nematoda; Chromadorea; Rhabditida; Strongylidae.
AUGGAUCAUGCUACAACAUACUUGAGGGAUUUUUGCUUUAAUGACCAAUCACAUUUCGCUCUCUGGCGAACUCACAGGACUGACGUCGACGGACAGGCUGAUGCCUCCCCCCUGGCUACUGUAUUUUCUCUCAUCUUGACUGUAUGAGGUGGUGCAUGGCCGUUCUUAGUUGGUGGAGUGAUUUAUCUGGUUUAUUCCGAUAACGAGCGAGAGUCUAGCCUGCUAAAUAGUAGCUGGAUUUUUACGUCCAUUCUACUUUUUAGAGGGAUAAGCGGUGUUUAGCUGCACCAGAUUAAGCGAUAACAUCAGAACUGUGAUGCCCUUAGAUGUCCGUGGCUGUACGCGCGCUGCAGUGGAAGAAUGAGCUGGUCUAUCCAUUGUUGAAAGGCAUUGGUAAACUGUUGAAACUCUAAUAUAAUAUCCGCUCACUGUACCAUACUGCAACAUAUUCGAGAAAU